ACUCCUACGGGAGGCAGCAGUAGGGAAUCUUCCACAAUGGGCGAAAGACCUGAUGGAGCAACGCCGCGUGGGUGAAGAAGGUCUUCGGAUCGUAAAACCCUACGUUGUUUAGAGAAGAAAAGUAGCGUGAGAGUAACUGUUCACGUUUUCGACGGUAUCUAACCAGAAAGCCACGGCUAACUACGUGCCAGCAGCCGCGGUAAUACGUAGGUGGCAAGCGUUAUCCGGAUUUAUUGGGCGUAAAGGGAACGCAGGCGGUCUUUUAAGUCUGAUGUGAAAGCCUUCGGCUUAACCGGAGUAGUGCAUUGGAAACUGGGAGACUUGAGUGCAGAAGAGGAGAGUGGAACUCCAUGUGUAGCGGUGAAAUGCGUAGAUAUAUGGAAGAACACCAGUGGCGAAAGCGGCUCUCUGGUCUGUAACUGACGCUGAGGUUCGAAAGCGU
This 442-nucleotide ribosomal RNA is filed under the name uncultured bacterium. RNAcentral's name for it is "bacterial SSU rRNA". It matches the Rfam family "Bacterial small subunit ribosomal RNA", at positions 335 to 762 of the family's 1533-position model. The record is from RNAcentral.